Molecule: ribosomal RNA, 497 nt
Filed under: uncultured bacterium
Lineage: Bacteria
Description: partial 16S ribosomal RNA
Rfam family: Bacterial small subunit ribosomal RNA
Source: RNAcentral
GAUGAACGCUGGCGGCGUGCCUAAUACAUGCAAGUCGAGCGAACGGACGAGAAGCUUGCUUCUCUGAUGUUAGCGGCGGACGGGUGAGUAACACGUGGAUAACCUACCUAUAAGACUGGGAUAACUUCGGGAAACCGUAGCUAAUACCGGAUAAUAUUUUGAACCGCAUGGUUCAAAAGUGAAAGACGGUCUUGCUGUCACUUCUCGAUGGAUCCGCGCUGCAUUAGCUAGUUGGUAAGGUAACGGCUUACCAAGGCAACGAUGCAUAGCCGACCUGAGAGGGUGAUCGGCGACACUGGAACGGAGACACGGUCCAGACUCCUACGGGAGGCAGCAGUAGGGAAUCUUACGCAAUGGGCGAAAGCCUGACGGAGCAACGCCGCGUGAGUGAUGAAGGUCUUCGGAUCGUAAAACUCUGUUAUUAGGGAAGAACAUAUGUGUAAGUAACUGUGCACAUCUUGACGGUACCUAAUCAGAAAGCCACGGCUAACUACGUG